Molecule: ribosomal RNA, 492 nt
Filed under: uncultured bacterium
Lineage: Bacteria
Description: partial 16S ribosomal RNA
Rfam family: Bacterial small subunit ribosomal RNA
Source: RNAcentral
AGUGAACGCUGGCGGUAGGCCUAACACAUGCAAGUCGAACGGCAGCACAGUAAGAGCUUGCUCUUACGGGUGGCGAGUGGCGGACGGGUGAGGAAUAUAUCGGAAUCUACUUUUUCGUGGGGGAUAACGUAGGGAAACUUACGCUAAUACCGCAUACGACCUACGGGUGAAAGCAGGGGAUCUUCGGACCUUGCGCGAUUGAAUGAGCCGAUGUCGGAGUAGCUAGUGGGCGGGGUAAAGGCCCACCAAGGCGACGAUCCGUAGCUGGUCUGAGAGGAUGAUCAGCCACACUGGAACUGAGACACGGUCCAGACUCCUACGGGAGGCAGCAGUGGGGAAUAUUGGACAAUGGGCGCAAGCCUGAUCCAGCCAUACCGCGUGGGUGAAGAAGGCCUUCGGGUUGUAAAGCCCUUUUGUUGGGAAAGAAAAGCAGCAGGUUAAUACCCCGCUGUUCUGACGGUACCCAAAGAAUAAGCACCGGCUAACUUCGUG